AGAUUGAACGCUGGCGGCAUGCCUAACACAUGCAAGUCGAACGGGAGUAGCAAUACUCUAGUGGCGGACGGGUGAGGAAUACGUAGGAAUUUGCCCUUAAGUGGGGGAUAACCCGGGGAAACCCGGAUUAAUACCGCAUGACCUCGAAAGAGCAAAGUGGGGGAUCGCAAGACCUCACGCUUUUGGAGAAGCCUACGUCGGAUUAGCUAGUUGGUGAGGUAAUGGCUCACCAAGGCGACGAUCCGUAACUGGUCUGAGAGGAUGAUCAGUCACACCGGAACUGAGACACGGUCCGGACUCCUACGGGAGGCAGCAGUGGGGAAUAUUGGACAAUGGGCGCAAGCCUGAUCCAGCAAUGCCGCGUGUGUGAAGAAGGCCGUUCGGUUGUAAGACUACUUUAAGUUAGGUAAGAAAAACGUAACGCGUACUAACACAGUGAGUCGUUGACGUACCGACGAGAAUAAGACACCGACUAACUACUGUCGCGACG
RNAcentral lists this ribosomal RNA (490 nucleotides) under uncultured soil bacterium. RNAcentral's name for it is "bacterial SSU rRNA". It matches the Rfam family "Bacterial small subunit ribosomal RNA", at positions 26 to 525 of the family's 1533-position model. The record is from RNAcentral.